UUAAGCUAAUAAGAGCGCAGGGAGGAUGCCUUGGCAUCAGGAGCCGAAGAAGGACGUGGUAAGCUGCGAAAAGCUACGGGGAUUGGCAAGCACGAUAUGAUCCGUAGAUAUCCGAAUGGAGCAAUCCACAUGGAGUCAAGUCCAUGUAUCAUAUACUGAAUAAAUAGGUAUAUGAGGGGAACCGCCCGAACUGAAACAUCUAAGUAGGGCGAGGAAAAGAAAUCAACCGAGAUUCUGUGAGUAGUGGCGAGCGAAAGCGGAAGAGGCUAAACCGAGAGGAGCAAUCCUUUCGGGGUUUAGGACUGCAUUUAGUACAACGAUUGUUAACCGAACAGCAUGGGAAGGCUGAUCAAAGAAGGUGAGAAUCCUGUAGGUGAAAACGAAAGUUGACGAGCAGUAUCCAAAGUACCGCGGGGCACGUGAAAUCCCGUGGGAAGAUGGGGGGACCAUCCUCCAAGCCUAAAUACUACCUGAUGACCGAUAGCGAAAAGUACUGUGAAGGAAAGGUGAAAAGCACCCCGGGAGGGGAGUGAAAGAGAACCUGAAACCCUGUGCUUACAAGCACUUAGAGCACGUCAAAGUGUGAUAAGGUACCUAUUGUAGAAUGGUCCGGCGAGUUAUUGUAUGCAGCGAGGUUAAGUAGUUCAGCUACGGAGCCGAAGUGAGAGCGAGUGUUAACAGCACGUUCAGUUGCAUGCAAUAGACCCGAAACCGGGUGACCUAUCCAUGUCCAGGAUGAAGUGAGGGUAAAACCUCAUGGAGGUCCGAACCCACUCCCGUUGAAAUGGUAGGGGAUGAGGUGUGGAUAGCGGAGAAAUUCCAAUCGAACCCGGAUAUAGCUGGUUCUCCCCGAAAUAGUUUUAGGACUAGCCUCGUGAUCAAGAUUAUCGGAGGUAAAGCACUGAAUGGCCUAGGGGUCGAGAGAUUACCGAAGCCUAUCAAACUCUGAAUGCCGAAUAAUCAUGCACGGGAGUCAGACUGUGUGAGAUAAGUUUCAUAGUCGAAAGGGAAACAGCCCAGACCUACAGCUAAGGUCCCAAAGUACGUUUAAGUGGAAAACGAUGUGAAAUUGCGUAGACAACCAGGAUGUUGGCUUAGAAGCAGCCAUACAUUAAAAGAGUGCGUAAUAGCUCACUGGUCGAGUGACUUUGCGCGGAAAAUUUAACGGGGCUAAAACGUACACCGAAGCUUAGGCUUGCAACUAUGUUGCAGGGGUAGGGGAGCGUUGAAUGAGGGGUGAAGUCGUAGCGAAAGCGACGGUGGACUUCAUUCAAGUGAGAAUGCCGGAAUGAGUAGCGAGAAUUAUGUGAGAAUCAUAAUGGCCGAAAGCCUAAGGUUUUUGGAGGAAGGUUCGUCCGCUCCAAGUAAGUCGGAAGCUAAGGUGAGGCUGAAAAGCGUAGCCGAUGCACAAACGGUUGAAAUUCCGUUACCACAGAAAGAUUUAAACUAAGGGACACUUUUGAAGAGCUGAUGCCGGGUGUUGGUUACCCCGGUCGUAAGGGAACGAAAUUAAGUAGUGAAGUCAGCGUGGAUGAAGGCGAGAAAAGCUUAGUGUAUAUCUUAUGUGUCCGUACCGCAAACCGACACAGGUAGGUAGGAAGAGAAUUCUAAGGCCAACGGGAGAAGGGUAGUUAAGGAACUCGGCAAAAUGUCCCCGUAACUUCGGAAUAAGGGGAGGUUUCUACGGAAACCCGCAGAGAAUAGUCCCAGGCAACUGUUUAUCAAAAACACAGCUCUAUGCUAAAUCGAAAGAUGACGUAUAUGGGGUGACGCCUGCCCGGUGCCGGAAGGUUAAGAGGAGGAGUGAGAGCCCUGAAUCGAAGCCCCGGUAAACGGCGGCCGUAACUAUAACGGUCCUAAGGUAGCGAAAUUCCUUGUCAGGUAAGUUCUGACCCGCACGAAUGGCGUAAUGAUCUGGGAGCUGUCUCGACUGCCCGCCCGGCGAAAUUGUAGUACCGGUGAAGAUGCCGGUUACCCGCGACUAGACGGAAAGACCCCAUGGAGCUUUACUGUAGCUUAAUAUUGGAUUUCGGCAUUUCAUGUACAGGAUAGGUGGGAGACUAGGAAACAUAGGCGUCAGCUUAUGCGGAGUCGUCCUUGGGAUACCACUCUUGGAGUGCUGAAAUUCUAACCUGCAGCCCUGAAUCGGGUUGGGGGACAUUGUUAGGUGGGCAGUUUGACUGGGGCGGUCGCCUCCAAAAAGGUAACGGAGGCGCUCAAAGGU
Molecule: ribosomal RNA, 2224 nt
Filed under: human metagenome
Description: bacterial LSU rRNA
Rfam family: Bacterial large subunit ribosomal RNA
Source: RNAcentral